UGACCAACCAUCUCUCUUCCUCUCCCAAUUCUUCUUCCGCUCACCAUUUCUCCUCUAUCCAACACCUUCAUCAGCAUCCCUCACAGUGUGUAACUCGACGGACGAUGGCUACACGUUGACGCAACCCAGCAACCGCCGUACGUCUCUCCCUCACGUGAUUGAAGCGUCGUGGCUUGUCGAUGCUAGAUCCACAGCUGUAGCACCGCCAAUCUAACCGAACGACGACCACUCCUUGUGCAGUUUAACUCACCACUUAUUUUCGGGCACACGCAGCUAUAUUCGAAGCCAUAGUUUUCGUGGCUAGUUGGAGUUGGACCAAAUUGAGGUGGUAAAAGAGUAUAAUCUCAGGGGAUCGAGUCAUUGAUAGUGAUUUCUCUAAGCUACGUGAAUGUGUUUCCGUAGCGCUACCUAUGGUUAUCAAGGGGUUUCGGGGUAGAAAGAGGUCGUGAUCGAAGAUUUGAGAACCUGAGCCUAGAUGAGGAUGUGGAUGGAGAAUUGUGAUAUGGCUUCGGGUCUAGCUUAACCUGUGGUGGUUGGCUCUAUGUGCACAUAGGAGCGGUAUGCAGUUACUACGGUAGGUGCUAAGUAUGCGUGAGCUCCAUUUGGUCGCAUGUUUUCUUGUGGAUAUGGAGCACGUGUGAGCUAUUCCCCGGCCGUAUACUUAGUAUGCUAUCAUGGUUGGAUUGGAUUGGUUGGAGGUUGCCAUCGUGGCGGGUACUAAAGAUGCGUGAGCUAAUUUUGGUUGCAUGAUUCUUUGUCAUGUGCGAGCUAUCUUUGGCCGUAUUUUUAGAUUUUUUCCACAGUUGGAUCGACUACAGGUUUGUUGGUGGACUGAUGGCUAUGAGUUAAUGACUUUUCAAUUAAUAUAUCAUUACGCGC
Long non-coding RNA from Cucumis melo (muskmelon), 879 nucleotides. RefSeq lists it as uncharacterized. The transcript is spliced from 3 exons. The record is from RefSeq and is a predicted model, not a curated record. NCBI's taxonomy places the organism in Eukaryota, Viridiplantae, Streptophyta, Magnoliopsida, Cucurbitales, Cucurbitaceae.